RNAcentral lists this ribosomal RNA (320 nucleotides) under uncultured bacterium. Its description in RNAcentral is "bacterial SSU rRNA". It matches the Rfam family "Bacterial small subunit ribosomal RNA", at positions 470 to 789 of the family's 1533-position model. The record is from RNAcentral.
UGACGGUACCACUUGAAUAAGCUCCGGCUAACUACGUGCCAGCAGCCGCGGUAAUACGUAGGGAGCAAGCGUUAUCCGGAUUUACUGGGUGUAAAGGGCGUGUAGGCGGGACAUCAAGUCAGAUGUGAAAGCACGGGGCUCAACUCCGUGUCUGCAUUUGAAACUGCAGUUCUUGAGUGCUGGAGAGGCUAACGGAAUUCCUAGUGUAGCGGUGAAAUGCGUAGAUAUUAGGAGGAACACCAGUGGCGAAGGCGGUUAGCUGGACAGUAACUGACGCUGAGGCGCGAAAGCGUGGGUAGCAAACAGGAUUAGAUACCCUG